This 254-nucleotide ribosomal RNA is filed under the name uncultured bacterium. RNAcentral describes it as "partial 16S ribosomal RNA". It matches the Rfam family "Bacterial small subunit ribosomal RNA", at positions 524 to 776 of the family's 1533-position model. The record is from RNAcentral.
UACGUAGGGCGCAAGCGUUGUCCGGAAUUAUUGGGCGUAAAGAGCUCGUAGGCGGUUUGUCGCGUCUGCUGUGAAAACCUAAGGCUCAACCUUGGGCUUGCAGUGGGUACGGGCAGACUAGAGUGCGGUAGGGGGUGACUGGAAUUCCUGGUGUAGCGGUGGAAUGCGCAGAUAUCAGGAGGAACACCGAUGGCGAAGGCAGGUCACUGGGCCGCAACUGACGCUGAGGAGCGAAAGCAUGGGGAGCGAACAGG